RNAcentral lists this ribosomal RNA (253 nucleotides) under uncultured bacterium. RNAcentral's name for it is "partial 16S ribosomal RNA". It matches the Rfam family "Bacterial small subunit ribosomal RNA", at positions 524 to 776 of the family's 1533-position model. The record is from RNAcentral.
UACGAAGGGGGCUAGCGUUGCUCGGAAUUACUGGGCGUAAAGGGCGCGUAGGCGGCGUGUCAAGUCAGGCGUGAAAGCCCCGGGCUCAACCUGGGAACCGCGCUUGAGACUGGCAUGCUCGAGUUCGGGAGAGGAUGGUGGAAUUCCCAGUGUAGAGGUGAAAUUCGUAGAUAUUGGGAAGAACACCGAUGGCGAAGGCAGCCAUCUGGACCGACACUGACGCUGAGGCGCGAAAGCGUGGGGAGCAAACAGG